UUGAACGCUGGCGGCAUGCUUUACACAUGCAAGUCGAACGGCAGCACGGGGGCAACCCUGGUGGCGAGUGGCGAACGGGUGAGUAAUAUAUCGGAACAUAUCCGGGAGUGGGGGAUAACGUAGCGAAAGUUACGCUAAUACCGCAUAUGCCCUGAGGGGGAAAGUGGGGGAUCGCAAGACCUCACGCUUUCGGAGUGGCCGAUAUCGGAUUAGCUAGUUGGUGGGGUAAAGGCCCACCAAGGCGACGAUCCGUAGCUGGUCUGAGAGGACGACCAGCCACACUGGGACUGAGACACGGCCCAGACUCCUACGGGAGGCAGCAGUGGGGAAUUUUGGACAAUGGGCGCAAGCCUGAUCCAGCCAUGCCGCGUGCGGGACGAAGGCCUUCGGGUUGUAAACCGCUUUCAGCCGGAAAGAAAUCGUCAAGGCUAAUAUCCUUGAUGGAUGACGGUACCGGAAGAAGAAGCACCGGCUAACUACGU
This 482-nucleotide ribosomal RNA is filed under the name uncultured bacterium. RNAcentral describes it as "bacterial SSU rRNA". It matches the Rfam family "Bacterial small subunit ribosomal RNA", at positions 29 to 506 of the family's 1533-position model. The record is from RNAcentral.